Molecule: long non-coding RNA, 367 nt
Filed under: Eucalyptus grandis
Lineage: Eukaryota; Viridiplantae; Streptophyta; Magnoliopsida; Myrtales; Myrtaceae
Description: long non-coding RNA (EGRA_LNC000455)
Source: RNAcentral
UGGUUCCAUACGGAGGUGCUCCGCGGGUCCGGGGCGCCGGCGAAGGCCCUGGCGGCGUCGGCGAGGAGGCCGGCGCCGACGUAGCCGGCGAGGAGGUGGGCGAGGAGGGAGUUGGUGGCGGCGUAGCCGUUGACGACGAGCUGGGCGUGGAUCUGGGCGAGGGCCCUCGGGGCGGCGGCGGCGGGGGCGGCGGCGGCGCGGGGGCUCCGGAGGAGGGAGAAGAGGUGCUGCUGCCGCGCUCUGGAGGUUCUGGGGUAGGCGGGAAGCGCGGGCUCAACGAACAUUUAAAAAAAUGGAAUCGAGACGACAGCUCGGCCUGGCUUUCGUGGCGAUGAUCUCCAUGGGAGGAGGAGAGAGAGAAAAGUAG